UUGGGUUCGCCCUUGGGAGAAGUGGGGGGCGUCACAGUUGGUAUCAGAGCCAUAUACCGACAGUUGGGACCUUAAGUCCUUCGUCUGGAAAAGCCCCGAGCCUCUCGUUCGUGUAGAGUCACGAAGCGAAACUCUCCGUAGGGGAUGCCCGCGUGCGGGUGGCAAGCUGAUAGGUACCCCGUGAUGUGACCCUGAGAACUGUCACAGUUGGUAUCAGAGCUUAGGCUUCAGAUCUUUGU
RNAcentral lists this long non-coding RNA (239 nucleotides) under Coffea arabica (coffee). RNAcentral describes it as "long non-coding RNA (CARA_LNC004689)". Lineage: Eukaryota; Viridiplantae; Streptophyta; Magnoliopsida; Gentianales; Rubiaceae. The record is from RNAcentral.